GGGGGCCCGCACAAGCGGUGGAGCAUGUGGUUUAAUUCGACGCAACGCGCAGAACCUUACCAGCCCUUGACAUGUCCAGGACCGGUCGCAGAGACGUGACCUUCUCUUCGGAGCCUGGAACACAGGUGCUGCAUGGCUGUCGUCAGCUCGUGUCGUGAGAUGUUGGGUUAAGUCCCGCAACGAGCGCAACCCCCGUCCUUAGUUGCUACCAUUUAGUUGAGCACUCUAAGGAGACUGCCGGUGAUAAGCCGCGAGGAAGGUGGGGAUGACGUCAAGUCCUCAUGGCCCUUACGGGCUGGGCUACACACGUGCUACAAUGGCGGUGACAGUGGGAUGCGAAGACGCAAGUCCUAGCAAAUCUCAAAAAGCCGUCUCAGUUCGGAUUGGGCUCUGCAACUCGAGCCCAUGAAGUUGGAAUCGCUAGUAAUCGUGGAUCAGCACGCCACGGUGAAUACGUUCCCGGGCCUUGUACACACCGCCCGUCACACCAUGGGAGUUGGCUUUACCUGAAGACGGUGCGCUAACCAGCAAUGGAGGCAGCCGGCCACGGUAGGGUCAGCGACUGGGGUGAAGUCGUAACAAGGUAGCCGUGGGG
RNAcentral lists this ribosomal RNA (595 nucleotides) under Bradyrhizobium sp. RNAcentral describes it as "bacterial SSU rRNA". It matches the Rfam family "Bacterial small subunit ribosomal RNA", at positions 915 to 1507 of the family's 1533-position model. Lineage: Bacteria; Pseudomonadati; Pseudomonadota; Alphaproteobacteria; Hyphomicrobiales; Nitrobacteraceae. The record is from RNAcentral.